This 1147-nucleotide long non-coding RNA is filed under the name Crocodylus porosus (Australian saltwater crocodile). RNAcentral's name for it is "lncRNA (ENSCPRG00005015634.1)". Lineage: Eukaryota; Metazoa; Chordata; Crocodylia; Crocodylidae. The record is from RNAcentral.
UAAAGGGCAGAUGGGAGCUGCCUUGAUUCAAAUGGAACAAAACCUGCUUGUCCACCCAGGACUGCCGCAGAUACGCUGGGGUCUGCGCUCUGUGUGCACAAUAGUUGCAUAUUCAGGGAUCGUCCUCCCUCCUGUCUACUGGAUGGAGACAUUCGAGGAUUGGCGGACCCAGCCUUUUGUCUCUGCUGCAAAGCCUUUGCGAGGAAGGGCUCGGGGGGCUUCAGAUGCGCGUGCCACCGUUGUGGCGAUCUGUUCCUUUGUCAUACGCAGGAAGUGUCAUCUUUCAAGCCACUGAAAGCAGCUGCCUCGGUGUGGAAAACCGUUGCUUUGACCUCUGAACAGGGUGUGUUGAAGAGCCAGCUUUUGUUCCAUUCAGCUCUUGGAGAUCGGUGAUCCUGUCUGCUUUCUGCCUUCUGCAACUCAGCACCUGAGUUUUCUCGCUACCAGCAAGGGUAUUCCCGGUGUCCCUCCACCCUCCCUUGAUCCGCGGGGCUCCAGAGAAACGUGUUUACUGGGUAGUCUCUGCUUGGAGGUUGUGCCAGUAGCUUCUCGUGAGCGCUCCUAUAAAGCCCAAGCAACGCCCUCCUGGAGGCUGCUGCCAACACCAGUGUCCUGCUGGCACUGCCUCCUCUCACCACCUUUCCAAACCAACAAGCUCCCGACAUGUGUGCGCAGUGCAGCACAGGUCACGCGAGCCGUGUCCCUCCCUCCCUCCCUCCCUUUGAUUCCCUCCUUUUCAGGCUGGGGUUGGAUUGCAAAGGCUCGCUGCGGGGCUUCGGUUACUCGGUGUCUGCUGCUCCCUUGCACGUUGCUCCUCUCCAGUGCACGUCCUAGCCUGGCGUCACCCGCCUUUGAGGGUCCGGUUGCUCUGCGGACGUGUUGUCUUCAAACGCCUCUGUCGGCUGAAGGUGUCGAGGGCAGAGCUCUGUCCGCAGCAGGCGUUUUCACCCAUUUCGCUGCAUCCAUUUUGUGCUGCACGGCUCAAAUUCCUGCUCACAAAACUGCCUGCAACGUCCCCCUCGGACGACUAGAAAACCUGAGCACAGCUUGUAGCACCGAGCAUCUCUGAUCUGCGAAGACUCGACGAAAAGCAAGCCUAUUGAAUUUUCCUUUUUGUCCGCGGCUUAAAUAAAUAUGUCACAAAGCU